This is a long non-coding RNA of Pseudoliparis swirei, 316 nucleotides long. RefSeq lists it as uncharacterized. The record is from RefSeq and is a predicted model, not a curated record. The transcript has 4 exons. NCBI's taxonomy places the organism in Eukaryota, Metazoa, Chordata, Actinopteri, Perciformes, Liparidae.
GCAGAGGCGGUGCCCGCUGCCUAUAGUCGUCCUCCAUGAUGCUGAAGGGAUGCCGCAGCCGGUUUUCCUGCGAGAGGGAUAACAGACCUCAGCUGCACUUUGAGUUUCCGGUCAUUUAGUACAUGUUAGCAUGCUAACCAGCUACGCAGGGGGCGACUUCUUAGGGGCAGUCCUCAAACCAAUGGCUGACGUUGCGAUGACUGCGUCCACUUCCUGUAUACAGUCUGUGAAGGGCUUGCGGGCACAUCUCUGACCUGGUAGUCCAGGAUGCUGAAGCCCAGUCCCAACUCGCCUUUCUCCAGCUCGACCACCUGAG